ACACAAUGAAACAAUACGCCCAUUUAGUACAUUCAUUACUGGCCAAACUCGCCGUUCAUAUAACCUUAAUUCUGCUGGUCAGGUCUUUCGCAGUUCCAAUAUAUCGCUCGGGCGUUGUACAGGUAAUGACGGUUUUAAUUAGAUUUCGGACCAUGUAUAUUAUAUGGCCUGACCGAGCGUUGAAUUGAUACAUUUCCAGUAAUAGUCCGUGCAUGCUGUCAACAACAAAACGAUAACUCUGAUCUUCAUCGACGAAACUUAAUGCCAGUGUUAACUCAUGGUUUCGUCUUCGAGUAUUAGAGCGAGAAACGAGCAUGUUUCUCGCGCUCGCA
This is a non-coding RNA of Paramuricea clavata, 332 nucleotides long. NCBI's taxonomy places the organism in Eukaryota, Metazoa, Cnidaria, Anthozoa, Malacalcyonacea, Plexauridae. The record is from the annotation of a GenBank genome assembly.